GUUGUUGCUGCCGGGAGGGACCCUGUAGGAGAUGCUGUUGGAGUAGUGGUUGACACCGGCGAACCUACGGGAGUGGGAGCAGGAGGUGAUGUGGUGGUUGAUAUCGGCGAGUUUGCUGGAGCGGAAGCUGGAGGUGAAGUAGAGGUUGAUGCCGGUGAAAUUGAUGGUGAGGGUGAGUUGUUUGAAGGGUAUGGAGAUAGUGGAGAUGGUGCUAUUCCAUUUCCAGAGGGUGUUUGUGCUGUCGAUGGAGGCUGAGAGGAUAUUUGAGGUGAUUGGGAAGAUGAUGGAGAAGAGGUGGUUGGUGGAGUAUGAAUGUAAGGUGGUUGAGAUGUUGGUGAAUGAGUGUUUGGUGGUGUUUGAAUAUAUGGAGGUUGUGAGAUUGGUGAAGGAGCACCUGGAGGUGUUUGAGAAGAUGGAGAUGGAGUACUUUUUGGAGGGGCUGAAACGUAUGGUGGUUGUGAUGUUGGUGAAGAAGGAGAGUUUGGAGGUGUUUGAAUGUAUGGUGGUUGUGAUCUUGGUGAAGAAGUGUUUGGUGGUGUUUGAAUGUAUGGAGGUUGUGAUGUUGGAGAAUCGUUUUUUGGAGGUGUUUGAAUAUAAGGUGCUUGUGAUGAUGUUGGAGAAGGAGUGUUUGGUGGUGUUGGAACAUAUGGAGGUUGAGAAAUUGGAGAAGGGGUUUUUGGAGGGUGGCUGCUAGGGGAAGGAGUAGUUGGAGGUGUGUAAGGAACACUAGGAGAAGGAGAUUUUGGUGGUGUAAUUGGUACAUAAGGUGGUUGAGAGAUAGGAGAAGGCGUUUUGGGAGGAGUUGGUGUAUAUGGUGGUUCAUUUUUAGGGGAAGGAGCUUUUGGAGGAGUGUAAGGAUGAUUUGGAGGGGUGUGAAUAGGAGAGGGAGUGUUUGGUGGUGUAAUUGGUACAUAGGGUGGUUGAUUGCUAGGGGAAGGUGCUUUUGGAGGAGUAUGGGGAUGAUUUGGAGGGGUGUAAAUAGGAGAAGGAGUGUUUGGUGGUGUGAUUGGUACAUAGGGUGGUUGAUUUCCAGGGGAAUGUGCUUUUGGUGGAGUAUAUGGAGCAUUAGGAGGAGUGUGAAUAGGAGAAGCUGAUUUUGGAGGAGUAUAUGGAACAUUAGGAGGAGUGUGAGUAGGAGAAGGUGUUUUUGGAGGUGUAAUUGGUGUAUAGGGUGGUUCAUUUCCAGGAGAAGGUGCUUUUGGAGGAGUAUAAGGAACAUUAGGAGGAGUGUGAAUAGGAGAAGGAGUUUUAGGGGGUGUAAUUGGUAUAUAUGGUGGUUCAUUUCCCGGAGAAGGGGCUUUUGGAGGAGUAUAGGGAACAUUAGGUGGGGCGUAAAUAGGAGAAGGUGUUUUUGGAGGUGUAAUUGGAACAUAAGGAGGUGUAGGAAGAAGCUUGGGAGGAGGAGUAGACACAUAAGGAGGAGGUUCUCUCACAGCCAACACCACAACAAUCAAUUUUUGACCAUUUUCACAAUUAUGAUCUUUUCCACUAAUGAAAUAAAAGGGACCAGAUCUAUCAAAUUGAAACUCAGAAUCAUCAUCUUCAAAUUUCUUGAUCGGAUUCUUCUUAUUGCACUCGUCAUAAUCCUCUUUGUUCACCACCAACACUGAGUUUGACUCCUUCUUGUACUUAAAAACUAUAACAAAACAAAAUCAUAAUUAAAAACUACUAAUCCACAAGCAAAUUAAUUAACAAUAAUUGAAAUGAAAGUUACCUAGAAUAUCAUUGACUUGGAACCUAUUCCUCGCAGUCCAUUGAUUGUAACUUUCAGAAGGAUUCAAAACCCAUCCAUCUUUUCCACCAGCAUAAAACGUAUAGCCUUGUGAACAUGAAAUUAAACUAAAAAGAAACAAGAAGAUGCAAAUAUGUUUUCGAAGAAGCUUCAUGACUAAUUAACAAGUACUAUACAUAGAGAGAGAGAGAAGAGAGUUAUGGAAAAGUGAUGAUGAAGAGAGUGAUAUAAAGAGAAAGUUUUUGUUGGUUACCGUUGUAUAGUGAUGACUGAAUUAUUAAUUGAUGUACGAACAAGCGUGUGUAACGCGGGGGGGUUACGUGUGAAAUUUUAAGGGAUCUACAAGUGGCAUAGACUAAAGUUAUGAUAGAGAUAUUAAUUUAAUAUAUAAUAGGAUGAAAUGGAUUAUUACUAUAACAUGCAAAGAAAUUUCUAAAGUAAGAAAAGCAUUAAUUAUGAGAUAUUAUUGCUUUCGUGGCCAAUGUUUAGUGGGUUGUGUCUUGUGAUGUGAAGUGAGAUUGAAAACUUUAUUUUCCUACCGACGAGACUAGAGGGCACUACGUGUUUGGCGAAAUGAUAGAGAUAUCAACUUGGAAUAUAUUGUAAGAUGGAGUUAAAUGACUGUUUGAGUUAACUUUCAUUGUUUUCAAUUCUUACUUUAAAAUUAGGAAAGAUAUAAAGGUAAAAGGUUAACAAAGAUAAAUAAAAGUUAUGAUUAUAUAAAUCAAUCAUGACUUUACUUUUAAGUAUAUGAUCCAAAAGUAGAAUUUGGGGAUUGGAAUAGUUGUGCUUUGAUUUACUUUUUACUUACAACUUUUUUUUGGUAACACAAAUUAGUGAUCCAAUCAUGGGUUUGUUGAGUCAACUUUAUUUACAUUAGUUAACUUUUUUCUUAUAUUUAAAACUGGAUGGAGUAACUAUUUUACCUUAUAUUGUAAAUUGGUCUUAAAUCAAAGGAGACAUGAAAUUGGGAAACCAAUGAAAUAAAAAGUUGUAAGGUUGACAUAAACAGCUAAAUGCUGCCAACCACAUCCUCUAGCCACCCCUGCAUUAUUUAAGGCAUUUGUUCCCUGAGAUCAUUUUGAUAAUGAUCAUAUGAUAAAUUGACACCUGAUAAGACACAUUGAAUAGAAUUUAGUAGUACGGAAACAGCAAGCAAAGGUGCUAUUGAAGCAAACUCCUUUUUUUUUAUAGUAGGACUACUACUAAAUAGUUGAAUCCUUAUGUCAUGACCAAAUACAAGAAACAAAACAAAACAUAAACCAAGGAAAAGAGAAAGCUUUAGACCGGCUCUCAUUGAAUGUUUAGCUCUUUGCGGUUGGCCUGCUCCCAACUCUUUGGAAACCCUUGUGCUAUAAAAUUUGAGUUCAAACUUUUUAAUAUAUAAACAAGAACAUAGAUUAAAUGCUUAUAACAGAAUAUUCUUGGUGCAUAAGAUAAAGAAGAUAAAAAUAGUAGAAAAGAGAAGAGAGAUAACAAAUUUUUAAUCCUAUGUUAAAACGGUUACACAAAAAUGGUUGCACACACACUGCAUUACAAUAUUAAGUGGGUACAAUUGUUGAUAGUUACAGUGCUAUAUAUACACAAAUAAUAAUGUCACGUAGACGAAAUAUUAAAAUACUGAAUUACCCUUCAACGUCAUCCCUUAAUUCAGGAUUUGACUAAUCAAAACCAAUAACACUAAUUAUAUCUUUAAAUGAAGAAAUUGACCAAUCUUGAUCAUUUUCGUCAGAACAUCUACCAGCUGCUUCCGGGUGCUAUAGUGCAUAACUUCUAGCACUCCAUUUUGAACUUGACUUCUCAGAAAAUGAUACUUAGUCUAAGUAUGCUUGCUUCUCCCAACAACACUGGAUUAUUGACAAGAUUGAUUGCAGACUUGUUAUCAAUCAUUAGCUUCUGAGGCUCAUUUACCUUGAUUGUCAUAUCCUGUAGUAAAUUUAGAAGUCAAACAACUUGACAUGCAGUCAUAUCACCUGCAAUACAUUCAGAUUCACAGGUUGACAAAACAACAAUUGGUUGAUUCUUGGAACACCAAGAAAUAGGACCUCCUAGAUACUUAAACAAAUAUCCAGAAGUACUUCUUCUGCCAACUACAUAGCAAAUGUCAGGUCUGAUAUUUCACAAACACCUCAUAGAGUCAACCAACUGCUUGAAAGUCGUAGCAUAUACAUCAUCUCCUUCAGAAUCAGAAUCCAAUUUAUGAUUUAUUUUUACAGGUGUGACAGCAGCCUCACAAUUCAGCAACUCGAAUCUCUUCAGAAGCUCAAGUUCAUAUUUCAGCUGAUGCAAAAUGAUACCCUUCUCAGAGCACAUAAACUCCACCCCUAGGAAAUUUUUCAUCUUUCUUAGAUCAGUUAUCUCAAACUCAUUCAUCAACACCUUCUUGAACUUAGCUAUCUCAUGUUCACAACUCCCUGUUAGCAACAUGUCAUCAACAUAGAGACACACUAGAAUCAUAUUGCCUUCAGAAGUAUGCUGAACAUCAAUCCAUACUUCAUCUCACACUUUCUGAAUCCUUGGAGCUUGAAAAAUGAUUUAAUCUUCAGAUUAUAAGCUCGAGGAGCUUGUUUCAGCCCAUACAAGACUUUAUGCAACUUAUACACCAUCCCUUCCUGAUUCUUUUUCUCAAAUCUAGGAGGUUGUGACACAUAUACUUCUUCUUGCAAUGGACCAUUCAGAAAUGCAGAUUUCACAUCCAGAUGCAUCAGAAGCCAAUUCCUGUUAGCAGUUAUCACAAUCACCAUUAUGAUUGUUUCAUGUCUCGCUACAGGAGCAAACACUUCAAAGUAAUCUAACUCGGGUUUCUGUAGAAAACCUCUUGAUACUAACCUUGCUUUGUGUUUGCCAAUUGAUCCAUCUGACUUUAGUUUCUCCUUGAAAACUUAUAUGACGCUUAUGGCUUUCUUGUCCUUUGGAAUCUUAGUCAUUUCUCAAGUCUUGUUUCUUUCUAUAGCCCCAAGUUCUUCUUUCAUAGCCUUCAACCACACUUUCUUCUUGAGCGCUUCUUCAACACUGACUGGUUCGGAGUCUACUAAUAUAGCACAUUGAAUGACUUCUCCUUUAGAGUCUACUUCGGUAUCUUGCAGCAUGCCAAACUCUGCAAACCGUCUUGGGAUGUUUCUGAUUCUUUGUGGCCUCUAAACUUCUUCAUAAUCUUCUUCAGACGCGAGAACAAUAUCAUAUGCUGAAACCCCAAAAGUACCACCUUCAGAGUCUAGAAUAUUCCUAGAGUCUAGAUCUCCACCAGAGUCUUUAUCACCAUCAGAAUCAAAUUCACCUUCAGAGUCAGACUCCCCUUCAUAGUUAGACUCGCCUUUAGAGUCACCUUCAGAAUCAUUUUCUGAUUUUGACUCAUCUUUAGAACCUUCAGAUUCUGAAGUAUCUUUAGGGGUUAACUCUACAUCUGAGUUGGAUUGAGAUUUGCUCCAAUCCCACGUUUCUGAUUCUUUCACAAUGACAUCUUUACUAAAUUCAACCUUGUUAGUGAUAAGAUAGUAGAGCUUAUAGGCACAUGUACUGUGGUAUCCUACAAGCAACAUAACUUCGCUUCAGUCAUCCAACUUCAUUCUCUUAGCAUCUGGAACAUGUUUGUAACAAACAGAACUAAACACCUUCAGAUGGCUCACACUUUAAUUAUCUCCACUCCACUUCUCUAAAGGAACAAUUUCCUCCAGCUUCUUGGUUGGACAUUUGCUCAGUACAUAUGAUACAGUGGCAACAACUUCUCCCCACAAGGUGUGAGGUAACUUUUUCUCCUUCCGCAUGCUCCUUGUCAUAUCAAGCAAAGUUCGAUUUCUUCUAUCAGUAAGACCAUUGUGUUGAGGAGUGUAUGAAUCAAUAACCUCAUGCUCAAUUCCGUUCUCCUCACAUAACUUUCUAAACUUUGUAGAGUUAUACUCACCCCCACCAUUAGUUCUGAGAAUCUUUAGAGUCUGACCACUCUGAUUCUCAACCUUGAUUAUGAAUUUCUUAAAUUCAAUAAACACCUCGUGUUUGAACUUUAUAAAGUAUACCCAUGUCAUUCUUGUGAACUCAUCAAGAAGUGACACAAAGUAUUUAUUCCUCCAAGUGAAGGUACUAGAAAUAGUCCACACACAUCAAAAUGCACCACACCUAGAGCACGCUUUUCUCUUGGAUGCAUUUCAUAUGAAAAUAUCAGUCUUGGUUGCUUCCCUCUUGUGCAUACAUUGCAUGAUUUCUCUAGCUUCUUAAUUGCAGGAAUUCCAUGUAUCAACUUCUAUGAAUUCAGAUUACCUAAGCUUCUGAAGUUCAUAUGACAAAAUCUUUUGUGAUACAACUCACUUUCCUUCACAACACUUGUUGCACUAAGGCAUUCAUAGUUUGCAGUUUUAACAUUCACUUUGAAUGUUCUAUUUCUCCGUUGUUCUGACUUCAUAAUUAGUGUAACGACCCGUAAAAUAUACAUCUAGAAUAAUAUCUUACAAGUGUUAUUAUUUGGUACUGACACAAUCAUAAGUGCCUACUAGCAACAUUUACAUAUUUGACCAAAUUACAAAACAUAAAAGACAACAUAUGGAAAGUUCCAAAAUAAAAAAUCUAAAAUCUAAGUAUAAUAUCCGUCAUUGUACAUGAUUCACAGUGUAAGAUCACAAUAAAAGCUUCCCUUGAAACAUCAAUGCACAGUUCUUCUUGUAUACUAAACAUGCAAAUAAUACCUGAAAAAUAACAACAAUAUUAGGAUGAGGUAAUAAUCUCAGUGAGUUCCACUAUCCUAUGGAUUCACUCGCUUUAUAGGGUUCUAAUCAAAUCCUAACUCAAGUCACAAAGGGGGAAUAAGACUUGAGUUCACAAAACUCAUAAUGUAUGGAAACAUGUCUCUUGAGUUCACUAACUCAAACAAUCACUAGCUCAGAAACCAAAUCAAGGCAUCUUUCCCAGGAAAGCCCUAGGUAUAGGGUUAUCGAUACGGGCCACAAAUCCUUGUACCAUACUUUGACAUACGCAUGGAUUUCAGAUUCUAAGGGACUCCUCAACCUUAUGAAUCACCCUUUCCUAUGGCACUUAAAACCCAUUUCAAGCCUUUCACCUUUAUGGGGCUCUAACCCACUUAAGGUUCCAUCGUUUUUCUUUAGGACCCAUCCCUGGUCAAAGUAAUUGUGUGUACAUCCCAAUGGAGUGAAGGAGAAUUGCCAUCCAAGGCGCAGCGGAAUUUAAAAAUUUCUCCAUUUAGUGAUCCUUACGAAUGGGCAUGAUCAGUGAUAGAAUCGUUACCUCUUGUGGCGAUUCAAACCUUUGGGCCAGAUUCUCUGACAAUGAUCAAACCUUUGAUACAGAUCCACGGGGCGAUCACGAACGUUACGAUGACAACGCUCUUACUCAGUCCACACGAACGGAUUCCUUCAAUCGCAGUGCUAGCUGUUAUGAAUGAAGGCUUUGAGUGAGAGAAAGAGGGAAACAAAAUUCCAAGUCUCUACUUGAAUUUCUGUCUGAGUGGAAUGGAGUGACAAUGCUUCUACCCAAGGGUUCUAUUUAUAGAACCACUUGUGUGGGCUUCAAGCCAAAAAGCCCAUUUAAGUGCAUUUUGGACCAUAUCUCAUAAUAUGCCAAAAUCACUUAAGUAUUUGGUACCUUACCAUAUUUCGUCUCCCACUUAAGUGCACCGUACCUUACGGUGUUCCUUAAUUAUUCUAUCUCUCAUCAAUCCGUCCUUUGUGUGUGACCCUAUAGGUUUUCGCGACGUUGGCAAUUAUAUUAAAUCACGAUUUAACAUAAUAAACAGUGAGCGGUUAUCUAGCAACACAUCACUUGCUACCCAAGUCACGAAAAUGUCAUGUUGAUCUGACAAAACCUCCUGGUGAUAAUAAUUAUGUUGUAUAAUUACCCCUUUGCCCUUAGUGUCUAUAUUGAACACAAGGUAUAGACCGUGUCACCCUUGUCCAGUUCAAUAUUGGCCCAUAGACAUUUAUCCUGUUACGCAGGAUUGGGAAAAUUCCAUCUAGGACACUCAUGUUCCUCAGCAUGCUUCGUGGGGUACCCAUCAACUGUCUUUAUGGUUAUCCAGUUAGGACAACGUUGGAUCAGCAAUAAACACUCGACUCUACAUCUAGGCAUCCAUAGUGGCUUUCAGGUCGAAGAGUGGUAUACACUAUUAUCACCAUGAGAAUAACUUAUGACACUUUGCAUAACUUUCUAUAUAGUAUUCUCACAGCGGUCAAUCCGGUAUAAAUAUUACUCCUAAUAUUCAUACCUAUGUUUAAGACUUGAUAACUCUUUAUCCAUGAUCCAUGAGAUGUGAUCAUCAAUCUACAAACAUAAUAGUCUUAAUGCCUUUAAUGUUAUCCCACUUCACAUUAAAGCUCGACUACGGAUACUUUUAAGAAUUAGUGUCCUUAUGUUUAAUGUGUUCUCAUGAUUAAGUCACACUUAUACAUUAAACAGACUAUCUAUUCCAGGGACUUUAUUAAUCAACCAUAAUAAAGAAAAUGCCUUUUAUUAUUAAUAAAUAAUUCGAUACAAGUACCAAAAGUAUUGGCCUCUAGGGCUUACACCAACAUGGAGCUCUAUAUAAGCAUCUUCUCUUAGGACGACACAAGUAAGGGGUUGUUUACGACUAUGUGAUAAAAUAUAACAUAAUGUGAUUGUAUUCGACAAUCACAAGGUGAUCACACUCACCUUAAUCACACCAUAACAAUAACACAUGUUCCAUACAAAGCAUAUUAUUCACCAAUCAAUAACGUCUCUUCUUCUUCAUGUUUCUCCAGCUUUGCAUAAGUUUCUUGAUUCUUCUUCUUUUCUGGACAAUCACUAGAAUAGUGACCAUACUUAUGACAAUUGUAGCACUGAAUGUGACUUUUGUUUGACUUUUGACCACCACCACUUCCUCUACCUGGAGCACCACCUCUUUGGUUGCCUUGGUUCCAGGUUUUUCUCUGAUUCAACCAGUUUCCUUCUUGCUGAUUUCGACCAGUCGAAUUUUUGUAGCCUCCUUUGUUUUUGUUGCCAUUCCAGCUUCCAUUGCCUUUCCUUUCUUUUGCCGAUUGUGCCUGCAAAGCCAUAUCACUCUUUGAAUUUCCUGCAACUCUUUCAACCAUUCUUUGUUCAUGAGAUUCAAGCGUCCCAUGAAGCUCUUCGUCUGUCCAUUUUAACAAAUCUUUUGACACUUCUAUGGCUAUUAGCAUGUGGUCGAACUUUGGAGCCAAUGACCUCAAGAUCUUUCCAACAACAGAUCUUGAUGUCAACACUUCACCACAUACCUUGAUUUGAUUCACCAGUUUCGUAACCUUGGUGAAGAAAUCAGUUAUGCUUUCAUUGUCUUCCAUCUGAAGCAAUUCAUACGUCCUUCUGUGAGUUUGUAACCUCACAUUUUUCAACUUCUCCGCGCCUCUAAAGGACUUCUCCAAAAUUUCCCAUGCUUCUUUCGCUGACUCUACAUCACUAACCUUUUCAAAGUUAUCUUCAUCAACACAUUUAUGGAAUAUAAGUAAAUGUUUAUAAUCUUUCUUCUUCACAUCUGUAUGUGUAGCCUUUUCUUGAUUUGUCGCAUUUUCUGCAAGCGUUGUUACUCCUUCCUUCACAAGCGUUGAUAACAGAACACAAUCUUUAUCUGCUUGCACCAAUUCUCAUAAUUGUUAUUCUUGAGAAUCCAAAGAUUUACUGGAAAAUGGUCGUUUGGAUGAUUCAUUGCCAUCGUCAUUUUCAUCCCACGAAUCGUUUAAACCGGAGCUCUGAUACCAGAUAUUGGAAAUCCAUCACAACCUAUGGAGAAUUUAAAUUAAUAUUGAUGAACAAGAUUGAUAUCACCCACACAAUAACAAUGAAAAGAGAAGAACAAUUGAGAAAGAAAAGAACGAUGAAGGAGAAGAAGAAUUUUCUACAGAGUUUCUCUCUGCCCACAACCUGUGGAAAACUUCUUAUUCACUUUGCAACUGAAAAAUACUGUGAAUACAAUAUUAUGAAUACAACAUUCAAGAAUAAGGGUUACUCCUUAUAUUUAUAGAUUUAGGUUUGCUUGCACACUAAGCCAAAGCCCAUAAACUAUAGAAGCCCAUAAUAGUUAACAUUACUAAAAUAGGCCUAAGUCGAAAUCUUGUGUUAAGCAACAUGCUUAGACACUUCGACACUAAUACAACUCAACACACUAGGUGGUUAGACACUUCCUUGCUUCUGUCGAGCAACCUGCUUCGAUACAAGGAAUUACAAUUCAACAUUUUCCAUUACGAGAAACGGGUAUGAAAAGGUGGUAAGGUGUAGUCAACACUUGGGGUACUUAUCUCCAUGUUAGCAACACCCUGGUAUGUAUUCUAAGGGGAAACUUUUGUGCUUAAGGAGAUGGUAAAAGAAAGGAGUAAUCCAGGCUACGCCUAUAAAUAAUUGUUUCCUUUAUAAUAUGUUGAUUUUUCUAAUAAGAGUUCAAGUUGACCACAAUGAAGGCUUAAAAACAAAUUUGGUGAAACAAAAUGGUCAAAGAAACUAAAUUUCUAUCACUAUAAAAGGAAAAAAAACACCCAGACAUGGGUAACAUGUGUUAGACCAUAUCAUGAAUAUCAAAACGAGUUGAUUUGGAAAGCACAGAUCGUUGAGAAGACCAAGAGUCGUGAAAUAUACAAAUUUAUUCCCUAAUUAAUUAUUUUUAUUGGUGGAUAAGGCGAGUUAAUGUUUCUGUCGUUUGUAACUCCUUAGAGAAUUCAUUUAAAUCUGCAUGUUUAAAUAAUGGGUGUCGUUAAUUUCCCUUGCGAGGGCGUGGGGCACUUCCUCUUUUCUAAACACUUAAAAUUAUAUAGAGUGGUUGUCGAAAGAAACUAUAUCCUAUCGAAGAAAUCAAAUUUUUAGUAAUAAGACAUCAAAUAUUAUGAUCGAAAUAAACCAAGAGACAACACAAAUUAAGAAAAUAGGAAGUUGAAGAAGAGAAGUCGAGAAAAACUAACCGAUGUAAAGUUUUACAUCACCUUAUGAAUGUUAUGAAUUAUUUGUGCUUUUAAUUUUUUUAAUAUAAUUCAUCAAGUACAAAGUCCGGACAUAUAUUUAUUCUCCAACAAAAGUAAGGGGCAAGAACGACGAAGGCCUCCGCUGAAGGCAUUUAACCUAAGACCUCCACAGGGGACACACCGAUUAAGUUAACAUACCUCUGAACUUAAACUAAAGUCAAAGUAAAUAAGAACCUCUAAAAAAUCGGUCAAAUAAAUAGAAACCUCUGACCGGGUUAUGUUAAUCAAACCUCUAACCUAAUGAAAUCGACCAUGUAAAUAAUAACCUUUGGUCGGGUUAUGUUAAUCAAAUCUCGGAUCUAAUAAAGUCGGCCAUGUGAAUAAGAACCUCUGGCCGAGUUAUCUUAAUCAAACCUCUGACCCAAUGAAAUCAGCCAUGUAAGUAAGAACCCCUGGUCAGGUUAUGUUAAUAAAAAAUAUGACCUAAUCAAAGGUCUAAAUCACCAGCAAGUCAAUUAGGUCACUAAAGAUCUAUGACUUAAAAAAAAGAGAGUUGAUAUGCAUGAAUGAUAAGUUCUAAUAUAUACCACUAAAAAUGAACAAUUUAAAGGUACGCUCGUGGUUGUACGCGCAAUAUGGGAAGAAACAAACAUAUAAUAUAAUAAUAAUAAACACAAAAAAGGCCUCAGAAAGGCUUAAGUAUUAUACUGAAAAUAAAAUAAACAUUAUCCAAACAUUACAAAAAAUGCAUCCUCAAAGAUGACUAAUGACAAAACGAUUGCGAGUCAAUGUCCUGAUGAGAACGAACUAUGACUCUAAUCACAUUGAUUAUCCAUGGAUCAAAUCUCGGCACACUGGGGUUCUCUAAAGAAUGAAGUGAGAUAUACUCAGAAUUUUCCAACAUGUGAUCAUCUGAAUGUUUCAGGAGUUGGUUACUAAUACACUCGGAAACCCACAUGGCUAUCACAAUUCUAAAAACAAGGUCAAGCCUUGGCUUAGUUAAAACACGAAGCCAACAGGUCGAGAUCCUAUUGGGUAUAUCCAAGUUCUCUAUGUCUAGAACCUAUUGAGUUCUACGAUCCUAACAGGUCGAGAUCUCACUAGAGAUCUCCGACUUCUUCAUGUCUAGAACCUACCGAGUUCUACGAUGCCAACAGGUCGAGAUCCCACUAAGGCUCUCCGACUUCUCCAUGUCUAGAACAUACCGAUUUCUACAAUGCCAACAGGUUGAGAUCAAUCUCUCCGAUUUCUCCAUGCCUAGAACUUAUCAAGUUCUACGAUGCCAACAAGUAAAGAUCCUUACUAGGGCUCCCAUACUUCUCCAUGUAUAGAACCUACCGAGUUCUAUAAUGCCAACAAGUAGAGAUCCCUACUAGGGAUAUCCACUUCUCCAUGUAUAGAACCUACUGAUUUCAAUGACAACAUUUGGUCGAGAUCUCACUAGGCUCUCCGACUUUUGUAGAUCUAGAAUCUAUCGAGUUCUACAAGGACAACUAGUCGAGAUCCCACUAGGGCUCUCCGACUUCUCUAUGUCUAGAAAUGGUUUGGAAACCCUGUCGAACUAGAGUCAUUAUGGUGAUUGGAUUUCCCAUAAAAACAAACCGGAUGGAAGUACAACCCAGUCAAGAAGAAAAAAUUGCAGGAUUCUUUGUCCGAAUAUUUCAUCCUGUUGGGCCUGAUGAUUGGGGACUUGUGUACACCCUGAAAUUAUUAAAGCUAAGUGGUCCUGAUAAACAUUAUUGGGAUAAACAUCCCUGAAGCUAGCCAGGCGAGGUCAUAAUCGUCAUGUCUGGUAGGAGGUAUGUUAGGAAGGAAUGAAUGGCCAUCAUUGUAGGUGGUCCAAGGUUUCUCAUAUGUUUACUCUUUUGUGUUAUUUAUGGAUCAGAUUCAUUCCUGUUUGGUAUUGAGGGACUUUUUAUAUCACAAACCUUUCCAUUUCCAUGGAUACUAAAGAGGUAUGAUUAAUAUAUUUUAGUAACCAUUAACCAUUUGUAACUGCUUCAACCCUUUAACCUUUAUGUAGCAGAUUCGUCUAUUGGAAUGCCAUAAUGGCUCCGAUUUUGACGGUCCUUUAGAGCCCGAUAAACUGAGUAUGGGAUGAGUAUGUAACUCGCUACCCGACUUCAUAAUAAUUCCCCGACCUCAUAAAAUUCCCGGGAUGUACACAGACCAUACCAAAAUCCGAGAAGCAUACUUAGUGUUCUUGCUAAAAAACACUAAAAUGUUGACUUCCUUGUUCUAGUUCAAGGAGAACCUAAAAUGAAUGGUUGGAGUGUCUAUUAUGUGAGAUUUUCGCGUAUAUUGCCUGCCUUCUUCCAUUCAAGUAUCCUCCUAUUUAUAGGUUUCAUUCUCCCAUUGUCUGAAUCUUCAUAUCCUUCAUAAGUUCUCAUGUCAAUAAUGUCCUUCUCCCCUUAUAAUUGCCUUUUAACGACCGUCUCUUCAAUAAUUAUAACUCCAUAUCAUAAUGUAUCAUAUAAUAAUCGUCUCUUGUGACCUUUCAAAUGGAUUCUUGGCCUUAUCAUCGGGCCCGACCUCUACUGAUGGGAUCAUUCUUAGUGUAGAGGAGGUCGCAUCCGUCUUGAUUAUUCUGAUGUCCUAACCGGAAUCUGAUUAGUAGGUCUGAUGUCUUACACGGGUUCCGACUUGUAAAUAGUUGCAUGACUAUCCGAUAUGUUGACAUCAACCUACUGGGUUGUUAUUCCAAUUCGGUUUUAAAGAGCUCGGGUACACAAGUAGGUUUCGUCGAUCUCAUACCUCAGUUGGUCAACUAAUUUUCUGGGAUGUACAAUAAUUAUUGUUCAUUGCCAUCAUUGUUGGUGGUCCAUUGUUUCUUCAUAAGGUCGGUAUAUUUUAUGUUAUUCAUCGUCCUGAUCCCCUUUCUAUUUGGUCUUAGGACCUUUUUAUACUGUCAGCCUUCUCCCUUAUGAAUAGUCACAAUAAUUAGGUUUUAUGGCCAUAAACAUAACCGUUUAUUCUAAUUAUUCGUAACGAACUUGAUAAGUACUUGUAACUGUUUAUGACCAUUGAUGAUACGUAACUGAUUCAUUAAUCAUUUUGUAACGGUUUCGUCCCUUGAUUGUUCCUUUAGAGCCCGGUCGAUAAAAUCUGGGAUAAGUAUAAAACUCGUUGUUUAGGCUCAUAAUAAUUCUCCGAGAUAUAUGUCGUCGAUAUUCGGGUCCUAAAAUCCGAGAUGUACACUAACAUUUCGUAACCUUCAUAUGAUCCCUAGUUUGCCCCUUAACUGUUUUAAGGAAACCGACCGCCCGAAAUUAGGGUUCGACCCAUGUGUGCCGGUCAGAGGUUCCUACAUGAUCAUCUCGAUAAAAAUGGAUAUCUCGGCCAGGUUUAGAAAUUUCGGUUUCAUACCUCGGUUGGCCAAAUAAUUUCUGGGAUGUACAUAAGCCCUUCGGGCAUGAAUCCUAAAAGGAUGAAAUGUUCAGACAAAAGAAGCCUGAGACAUUAUUCACCAUUUGAAGAUAAGGUACAACUUGAUCUACUAUUACUUGAAUGCACUUUCUAAAUCGACACAACGAUGUGAAUGAUCGUGGCAAAUCUUUUAUAACAUGGGGCAUAUCUUUUUGCUAGAUUUUCUCUCUUUCUCUCCCACAAUACAUUUGGUCCUAUUGAGGUCCUUGGAUUUAUAACAAUGUUGUAUUUUACUUCUACUGAUCUUUGAUAAUUACCUUGCCUAAGCCCAAAUCGUAUUUUUACUUUGCCGAGGAGAAAUGUAAGCUCCAAGCAUAUCUUGGGAAGAUCUAUGACUUUAAUAAUGUCGGAGUACACUACGUCUUUAAUAAAGAAGCCAAAGAUUCCUGGUAGAUUCUUGACAUAGUGUCGUCUUAGAACCUGGUGGAUUCUAGUCGUAGAGAAGUCGGAAAGACCCAGUGAGGUCUCGACUAACGGUCAUUGUAGAACCUGGUAAGUUCUUGGUAUGGAGAAAUCGAAGAGCCUUAAGGGUCCUCGACCAUUUGUAUAACUCGGUGAGUUCCAUAUAAGGAGAAGUCAGAGAGCCCUAGUGGAGUCUCGAUCUAUUGAAGCUCUAUUUUAACUACUCAAAUGCUUGGCCUUGUUCUUAUAUUUGUGCCACCCCUUGUAGGUUUUAAGUAUUGUGGUAAUCUAGGCACUACUACUGGAUUCCCUCAUAUUACUCUGAUUAAAUAAGAUCCAUUCAAUCUUAGACCAUUGAAGUUGGGUUCACACACCAUUGUCGUGAUAUAUGUAGGAUAAUGUUUUUUAACAAAUCUGUGAUUCUCUCUUGAACGUGAAUCAAGCUCUUAUGAAAUUGUUUUAAUUGUGACUGUUUUAGUCCUUUUGGAUAUGUAGUCCUAAUACAUUUUUAUCUCCUUAAUAACAACUUAUUUGUCCAAAUGAAAAUCAGAUAAAAUAGUCGGCUCCAAGCGAGUCAACUUGUCUUUUUAGCUGGAGUUUUGUACCGUAUAGGUUUAAAGCCUCAACGUCAGACCUUAACGUUUUGAGGAGUCUCAUUAAUCUCGAACGCAGACCAACUAACUCUGAGUAUAUCAUGUCGGAUAUUUGGUCAUUGGUAAGUUAACCAAACCGCUUAAAGUCAGAGGUAUGUUAACUUUGUAUGACCGACGUUCAGAGUCCCGUGGGGGUUUGACGUUAAAUGGAGGUCUGAUACUUUUAUUUUGCAUGACCGACGUUCAGAGCCCUAUGGUGUCGCAUCCGCGAAAAACAACCGGCGGGCUAAAACAAAACAAACAGAGCCGCCACCGUGCGUUAUUUAUCCCAAUGAGGGAAAGGAAACGCUCGAAGUAAACCUGGAAAAGACAUGGUCUCGCGACCAAAGAGAGAUGGGAUCGGGAGUCGGUUAUGCGAAGGGAAGGUAUUAGCACCCCUACGCAUCCGUCGUACUCGACGUGAAGUAAACCUGGAAAAGACAUGGUCUCGCGACCAAAGAGAGAUGGGAUCGGGAGUCGGUUAUGCGAAGGGAAGGUAUUAGCACCCCUACGCAUCCGUCGUACUCGACGGGAUCCACACUCAAAAAGAUAGAAGAAAGGUUGCUAAAACCGCUCACAAACAUCACACACACACACACACACACACACUGAAAACAACAUAGGUGGAAAAGA
This 15710-nucleotide long non-coding RNA is filed under the name Lathyrus oleraceus (garden pea). RNAcentral's name for it is "Pisum sativum (pea) long non-coding RNA (PSAT_LNC022254)". Lineage: Eukaryota; Viridiplantae; Streptophyta; Magnoliopsida; Fabales; Fabaceae. The record is from RNAcentral.